RNAcentral lists this long non-coding RNA (275 nucleotides) under Malus domestica (apple). RNAcentral describes it as "long non-coding RNA (MDOM_LNC016377)". The record is from RNAcentral. Lineage: Eukaryota; Viridiplantae; Streptophyta; Magnoliopsida; Rosales; Rosaceae.
CUGCCGCACCUUCCCAUCACCAAAGUCCCAAAAUUCUGCCCAAAAAUCAUCCCUAGCCGUACCCCCAUCAACCCUAAACCUUUCCCUACCAUUCCCCAUCCAUUCUACACCCUAAAUACCACCCAAAACCUGUUCUAAACUUCUCUGCCGCAACAAGGAGGAAAGGGAAAUCAUUGAUGAUCUUGCUGCCAAGUUGGAGUCUUCUAGGUGUUUUCUUUCUUUGGGUUUUAAUUUCUAAAUUUAUGUAUCUUUGCUUUGCGAGUAUGAGGAACUAA